CACGUAGGUAACCUGCCCCGGAGCGGGGGAUAACAUUUGGAAACAGAUGCUAAUACCGCAUAACAACAAAAGCCACAUGGCUUUUGUUUGAAAGAUGGCUUUGGCUAUCACUCUGGGAUGGACCUGCGGUGCAUUAGCUAGUUGGUAAGGUAACGGCUUACCAAGGCGAUGAUGCAUAGCCGAGUUGAGAGACUGAUCGGCCACAAUGGAACUGAGACACGGUCCAUACUCCUACGGGAGGCAGCAGUAGGGAAUCUUCCACAAUGGGCGCAAGCCUGAUGGAGCAACACCGCGUGAGUGAAGAAGGGUUUCGGCUCGUAAAGCUCUGUUGUUGGAGAAGAACGUGCGUGAGAGUAACUGUUCACGCAGUGACGGUAUCCAACCAGAAAGUCACGGCUAACUACGUGCCAGCAGCCGCGGUAAUACGUAGGUGGCAAGCGUUAUCCGGAUUUAUUGGGCGUAAAGCGAGCGCAGGCGGUUGCUUAGGUCUGAUGUGAAAGCCUUCGGCUUAACCGAAGAAGUGCAUCGGAAACCGGGCGACUUGAGUGCAGAAGAGGACAGUGGAACUCCAUGUGUAGCGGUGGAAUGCGUAGAUAUAUGGAAGAACACCAGUGGCGAAGGCGGCUGUCUGGUCUGCAACUGACGCUGAG
This 650-nucleotide ribosomal RNA is filed under the name Limosilactobacillus reuteri. RNAcentral describes it as "bacterial SSU rRNA". It matches the Rfam family "Bacterial small subunit ribosomal RNA", at positions 114 to 750 of the family's 1533-position model. Lineage: Bacteria; Bacillati; Bacillota; Bacilli; Lactobacillales; Lactobacillaceae. The record is from RNAcentral.